This 660-nucleotide ribosomal RNA is filed under the name uncultured bacterium. RNAcentral's name for it is "bacterial SSU rRNA". It matches the Rfam family "Bacterial small subunit ribosomal RNA", at positions 202 to 849 of the family's 1533-position model. The record is from RNAcentral.
GAAAGGCGGCUUUGCUGUCACUUAUAGAUGGAUCCGCGCCGUAUUAGCUAGUUGGUAAGGUAACGGCUUACCAAGGCAACGAUACGUAGCCGACCUGAGAGGGUGAUCGGCCACACUGGAACUGAGACACGGUCCAGACUCCUACGGGAGGCAGCAGUAGGGAAUCUUCCGCAAUGGGCGAAAGCCUGACGGAGCAACGCCGCGUGAGUGAUGAAGGUCUUCGGAUCGUAAAACUCUGUUAUCAGGGAAGAACAAAUGUGUAAGUAACUGUGCACAUCUUGACGGUACCUGAUCAGAAAGCCACGGCUAACUACGUGCCAGCAGCCGCGGUAAUACGUAGGUGGCAAGCGUUAUCCGGAAUUAUUGGGCGUAAAGCGCGCGUAGGCGGUUUUUUAAGUCUGAUGUGAAAGCCCACGGCUCAACCGUGGAGGGUCAUUGGAAACUGGAAAACUUGAGUGCAGAAGAGGAAAGUGGAAUUCCAUGUGUAGCGGUGAAAUGCGCAGAGAUAUGGAGGAACACCAGUGGCGAAGGCGACUUUCUGGUCUGUAACUGACGCUGAUGUGCGAAAGCGUGGGGAUCAAACAGGAUUAGAUACCCUGGUAGUCCACGCCGUAAACGAUGAGUGCUAAGUGUUAGGGGGUUUCCGCCCCUUAGUGCUGC